RNAcentral lists this transfer RNA (75 nucleotides) under Alphaproteobacteria bacterium. Its description in RNAcentral is "tRNA-Gly". It matches the Rfam family "tRNA". Rfam says of the family: Transfer RNA (tRNA) molecules are approximately 80 nucleotides in length. Their secondary structure includes four short double-helical elements and three loops (D, anti-codon, and T loops). The record is from RNAcentral. RNAcentral also lists the same sequence under 1 other name. Lineage: Bacteria; Pseudomonadati; Pseudomonadota; Alphaproteobacteria.
GCGGGCGUAGCUCAGUGGUAGAGCACAACCUUGCCAAGGUUGGGGUCGAGGGUUCGAACCCCUUCGCCCGCUCCA